GUGCGUAUGAUGGAAAAAAAACAUAGUCUGAGAUGCGUGAUGUCUUCAAAGGAACCACUGACGCAC
This is a small nucleolar RNA of Echinops telfairi (small Madagascar hedgehog), 66 nucleotides long. Its record names the gene SNORD42. It matches the Rfam family "Small nucleolar RNA SNORD42". From Rfam's summary of the family: snoRNA U42 is found in intron 3 of the ribosomal protein L23a (RPL23a) gene in humans and is also present in mice. U42 is a member of the C/D class of snoRNA which contain C (UGAUGA) and D (CUGA) box motifs. NCBI's taxonomy places the organism in Eukaryota, Metazoa, Chordata, Mammalia, Afrosoricida, Tenrecidae. The record is from Ensembl.